UAAGAUAUCAUGAUGAAAUGCCUUGCAUGCUUAUAGAAAAAAUUUUCUAUGAGUAUGCGGCGAUUGCCAUGACCCUCAAUUCAUAAUCUCGGAUCGGGGACGUGACAUUAUCCUUCAAUCUAAACACUCAAAACUUCAUGUGAUAAUUGGUAUGUUAUAAGUUUUUGAUAAUAUUUGAUUAUUCACAUUGAGCAUUUUCUAAAUAAUUAUAUUUUUUAAAAGUAAAAAAAUAGCCAA
RNAcentral lists this long non-coding RNA (237 nucleotides) under Elaeis guineensis (African oil palm). RNAcentral's name for it is "long non-coding RNA (EGUI_LNC062370)". The record is from RNAcentral. Lineage: Eukaryota; Viridiplantae; Streptophyta; Magnoliopsida; Arecales; Arecaceae.